UGGGGGAUAUUGCACAAUGGGGGGAACCCUGAUGCAGCGACGCCGCGUGAGUGAAGAAGUAUUUCGGUAUGUAAAGCUCUAUCAGCAGAGGAGAAAAGAACGUCCUAGGGACGUCCGGACGGUAUCUGCAGAAGAAGCCCCGGCUAACUACGUGCCAGCAGCCGCGGUAAUACGUAGGGGGCAAGCGUUAUCCGGAUUUACUGGGUGUAAAGGGAGCGUAGACGGCAUAGCAAGUCUGGAGUGAAAGCCCAGGGCCCAACCGUGGGACUGCUCUGGAAACUGUUAAGCUGGAGUGCGGGAGAGGUAAGCGGAAUUCCUGGUGUAGCGGUGAAAUGCGUAGAUAUCAGGAGGAACACCGGCGGCGAAGGCGGCUUACUGGACCGUAACUGACGUUGAGGCU
RNAcentral lists this ribosomal RNA (400 nucleotides) under uncultured bacterium. RNAcentral describes it as "bacterial SSU rRNA". It matches the Rfam family "Bacterial small subunit ribosomal RNA", at positions 355 to 753 of the family's 1533-position model. The record is from RNAcentral.